RNAcentral lists this unclassified non-coding RNA (338 nucleotides) under Hevea brasiliensis (rubber tree). Lineage: Eukaryota; Viridiplantae; Streptophyta; Magnoliopsida; Malpighiales; Euphorbiaceae. The record is from RNAcentral.
UUAUUAUUAUUAUUAUUAUUAUGGGUGCAAAAUGUUUAAAAGCAAAUGUCCCUUAAGUGCCAAAAAAAGAAAAACUCGAGUCUUGAAUGCUAAAAGUUUGAAAGUUUAAAGUUUAAAAGUACAUGAUAUUUAAAUGUAUUUUACCUUUGAUUUACAAAAAGGUCUUUAUAUUUUGACAAACAAGUCAUUAAAUAUUGUAAUUAUUUUAAUCCCUUUACUCGUCUCUUCCUCUCACUAUGUUUCUAUCUGUCCAUGUUUUUCACCAUCUCUCUUCCUAUUUAUGUCUCUUUCCCACUAUGUAGCUCUUUCCCACUAUGUAGCUCUUUCCCACUAUGUAG